Molecule: ribosomal RNA, 479 nt
Filed under: uncultured ciliate
Lineage: Eukaryota; Ciliophora
Description: SSU rRNA
Rfam family: Eukaryotic small subunit ribosomal RNA
Source: RNAcentral
UGCAUGUCUAAGUAUAAUAUGAUACUGUGAAACUGCGAAUGGCUCAUUAAAACAGUUAUAGUUUAUUUGACGAACUUCUAAAUGGAUAACCGUAGUAAGACCAGAGCUAAUACAUGCCCCAGAGGCCGUCAAAAGCCUGCAUUUAUUAGAUAAAGCCAAUGUUGGUGAAUCAUAAUAACUGAUUGAAUCGCUCGGCUCGUGCCGCGAUGCGUCAUUCAAGUUUCUGCCCUAUCAGCUUUCGAUGGUAGUGUAUUGGACUACCAUGGCGUUAACGGGUAACGGAGAAUUAGGGUUCGAUUCCGGAGAGGGAGCCUGACAAAUGGCUACCACAUCUAACGAAGGCAGCAAGCGCGCAAAUUACCCAAUCCUGACACAGGGAGGCAGCGACAAGAUAUAACAACGUAGGCACUACGUGCAUGCGGUUGUAAUGAACUGGGCGCAAACACCCCAGCGGAAUUCCAUUGGAGGGCAAGUCUGGU